GCCAGGAUGGCUGAGUGGUUGAGGCAUUGGACUUAAGAACCAAUGGACAUAUGUCCAUGUGGAUUCAAACUCCACUUCUGGUA
RNAcentral lists this transfer RNA (83 nucleotides) under Ornithorhynchus anatinus (platypus). It matches the Rfam family "tRNA". From Rfam's summary of the family: Transfer RNA (tRNA) molecules are approximately 80 nucleotides in length. Lineage: Eukaryota; Metazoa; Chordata; Mammalia; Monotremata; Ornithorhynchidae. The record is from Rfam by way of RNAcentral.